RNAcentral lists this ribosomal RNA (253 nucleotides) under uncultured bacterium. RNAcentral describes it as "partial 16S ribosomal RNA". It matches the Rfam family "Bacterial small subunit ribosomal RNA", at positions 524 to 776 of the family's 1533-position model. The record is from RNAcentral.
UACGUAGGGUGCGAGCGUUAAUCGGAAUUACUGGGCGUAAAGGGUGCGCAGGCGGUCUGUCAAGUCGGAUGUGAAAUCCCCGGGCUCAACCUGGGAACUGCAUUCGAAACUGGCAGGCUAGAGUCUUGUAGAGGGGGGUAGAAUUCCAGGUGUAGCGGUGAAAUGCGUAGAUAUCGGAAGGAACGCCGGUGGCGAAAGCGACGUGCUGGACCUCUUCUGACGCUGAGGCGCGAAAGCUAGGGGAGCGAACGGG